CCUAGUAAGCAAUAACAUACACGUGAAAAGGUGAAAUACUGUAGCUAUGUUAUCAUGAGCAUACAACUCCAAGCUAGAAGCAUCAGAACACCCAGAGAGGCAGUUCUAACCUUAAAUAUGACUGGGAGAAGUGUCCAGAACAAGAAAGCAAUAUAUUCCACAGUAUACUAGAACACAGCAAAACAUGAACAACAGUCCAAACAUAGCUGAGGGCAAUAGAGCAAAAUGUCCACUAGAUGACAGCAAAAUGGACCCAUCACAACCCUACAGGAAGGGUGAGAAAUCCAUAUCUUCAUUUAAACCAGGGUACUUAGUGGCCUGUAGUUUGUAAAUCCAAAAACUUUCCCUUUGGUUUAACUGUUUGAGACGGUCCCCUUUUCUAAUAGAGGCUGGAACAUGAUCAAUACCCAUAGCUUGUGUGUCCAAUUUGGUAACCACUCCCUCUUCUAAUUAGGGCUAAUUGGAAAAGCCUUUCAAAAGAGGACAUUGUGUACUCCUUUUUCUAUACUCCCUGACGAAGGCCAUGCAGCCGAAACGCGUCGGUUUUUAAACAACUUUGUUUCUAUUGAACAUGCCAUACUAAUAAAGGCAUUUUAAUUAAUUAUA
Salvelinus fontinalis (brook trout) is the source of this 606-nucleotide long non-coding RNA. RefSeq lists it as uncharacterized. The record is from RefSeq and is a predicted model, not a curated record. The transcript is spliced from 2 exons. NCBI's taxonomy places the organism in Eukaryota, Metazoa, Chordata, Actinopteri, Salmoniformes, Salmonidae.